AGAGUUUGAUUAUGGCUCAGAUUGAACGCUGGCGGCAUGCCUUACACAUGCAAGUCGAACGGUAACAGGUCUUCGGAUGCUGACGAGUGGCGAACGGGUGAGUAAUACAUCGGAACGUGCCCGAGAGUGGGGGAUAACGAAGCGAAAGCUUUGCUAAUACCGCAUACGAUCUCAGGAUGAAAGCAGGGGACCGCAAGGCCUUGCGCUCACGGAGCGGCCGAUGGCAGAUUAGGUAGUUGGUGGGAUAAAAGCUUACCAAGCCGACGAUCUGUAGCUGGUCUGAGAGGACGACCAGCCACACUGGGACUGAGACACGGCCCAGACUCCUACGGGAGGCAGCAGUGGGGAAUUUUGGACAAUGGGCGCAAGCCUGAUCCAGCCAUGCCGCGUGCAGGAUGAAGGCCUUCGGGUUGUAAACUGCUUUUGUACGGAACGAAAAGACUCUGGUUAAUACCUGGGGUCCAUGACGGUACCGUAAGAAUAAGCACCGGCUAACUACGUGCCAGCAGCCGCGGUAAUACGUAGGGUGCGAGCGUUAAUCGGAAUUACUGGGCGUAAAGCGUGCGCAGGCGGUUAUAUAAGACAGAUGU
Molecule: ribosomal RNA, 590 nt
Filed under: uncultured bacterium
Lineage: Bacteria
Description: bacterial SSU rRNA
Rfam family: Bacterial small subunit ribosomal RNA
Source: RNAcentral